AUGUGGAAACAUCAAUCGGUAUCGCCCUUACACACGACUUUUUUUCAGUUUGCAUUUAUACAUUUGUUAAAACAAAAUGGUUCUUCAGGAAAUCAUUCUCGUGAAGGCACUUACUAUGAUCACCAUGCAUCACUUCGAGGAACAGAGAGAAGCAUUGAUCAUAAUAUUGGUUCAGACAUAGCACUUGGACUCGACACUGAAGACACUGUCCCCGAGCACAUUGCUUCAAAUGAUAUCAUUAAAUCAGAUAGAAAACAGAAAAGGCGAGACCAAUAUAUGGCACGGCGAAAUAGAUUAACACCUGAACAGAAGGAGGAAAUCAAUGCACGUCGCAGAGAAGCUAGGAAAAAAACAGAGGAGGAGAGGAGUGCCCGUCAAAGAGAAGCCAAGCAACGAAUGACACCAGAGGAGAAGCAACAGAGUAACACCCUUAGAAGGGUGGCCUACCAAAAUAUGUCAGUCCAUGACAACCAAGAGACAAACACCCGCCGAAGAACACGUCUGCAAAACAAAUCACCUAAGGAGAAGCAGAACAUGCUAGCUCAGCGCAAGAAGAGACUCGCGGCUAGGCGCAACACCCCUUGCGCUGAAUCCAUCGCAAUGCCGCGCCCUGAUGCAGGUACCUUAGCUACACCCAACCUGAUGUCGAGCACUCAUGCGUUGGCAUUCAGAGAAUCCAAAGCUUCAGCUCCCGCCCCUACCCCCCGGUUUGCGAGUAAGGCUGGGAACAACUUCGAAUCAGACGGUAAUCCUUCCAUCUUUACUCUACUUGUUCUGUCCAUGUGCAUUGAACCAGUAUUUAACGGCUCCACAACGGUGCAGGCGAGUACCUUAGUCAUGCCCUGGAUGAUAAUGAUGCCCCCAGCGAACUCAUAA
Molecule: ribosomal RNA, 876 nt
Filed under: Triticum aestivum (bread wheat)
Lineage: Eukaryota; Viridiplantae; Streptophyta; Magnoliopsida; Poales; Poaceae
Description: partial small subunit ribosomal RNA
Source: RNAcentral